UAGUUGGUGAGGUAACGGCUCACCAAGGCGACGAUCAGUAGCUGGUCUGAGAGGAUGAUCAGCCACAUUGGGACUGAGACACGGCCCAAACUCCUACGGGAGGCAGCAGUGGGGAAUAUUGGACAAUGGGGGCAACCCUGAUCCAGCCAUGCCGCGUGGGUGAAGAAGGCCUUCGGGUUGUAAAGCCCUUUUGUACGGGAAGAAAAGCGGCGGGUGAAUAUCCCGUCGUCAUGACGGUACCGUAAGAAUAAGCACCGGCUAACUUCGUGCCAGCAGCCGCGGUAAUACGAAGGGUGCAAGCGUUACUCGGAAUUACUGGGCGUAAAGCGUGCGUAGGCGGUUUGUUAAGUCUGAUGUGAAAUCCCCGGGCUCAACCUGGGAAUGGCAUUGGAAACUGGCGAGCUAGAGUACGGUAGAGGGUGGUGGAAUUCCCGGUGUAGCAGUGAAAUGCGUAGAGAUCGGGAGGAACAUCUGUGGCGAAGGCGGCCACCUGGACCAGUACUGACGCUGAGGCACGAAAGCGUGGGGAGCAAACAGGAUUAGAUACCCUGGUAGUCCACGCCCUAAACGAUGCGAACUGGAUGUUGGGGGCAACUUGGCCCUCAGUAUCGAAGCUAACGCGUUAAGUUCGCCGCCUGGGGAGUACGGUCGCAAGACUGAAACUCAAAGGAAUUGACG
RNAcentral lists this ribosomal RNA (678 nucleotides) under uncultured Gammaproteobacteria bacterium. RNAcentral's name for it is "SSU rRNA". It matches the Rfam family "Bacterial small subunit ribosomal RNA", at positions 246 to 915 of the family's 1533-position model. Lineage: Bacteria; Pseudomonadati; Pseudomonadota; Gammaproteobacteria. The record is from RNAcentral.